CCUACGGGGGGCAGCAGUGAGGAAUAUUGGUCAAUGGCCGCGAGCCUGAACCAGCCAAGUCGCGUGAGGGAAGACGGUCCUAUGGAUUGUAAACCUCUUUUGCCGGGGAGCAAAAGACGCCACGCGUGCCGUUCCGAGAGUACCCGGAGAAAAAGCAUCGGCUAACUCCGUGCCAGCAGCCGCGGUAAUACGGAGGAUGCGAGCGUUAUCCGGAUUUAUUGGGUUUAAAGGGUGCGAAGGCGGACGUUGAAGUCAGCGGUAAAAUUGAGAGGGUCAACCUCUUCGAGCCGUUGUAACUGGGGGACGUGAGUGCGGCGAGGGCAUGCGGAAGGCGCGGGAGCGAGGUGAAAUGCAGAGAUAGCGCGCAGAACCAUGAGUGGGAAGGCAGCGUGCCGUGCCGCCAGGGACGCGGAGGCACGAAAGAGCGGGGAGCGAACAGGAUUAGAGACCAGGGUAGGC
RNAcentral lists this ribosomal RNA (459 nucleotides) under uncultured bacterium. RNAcentral's name for it is "partial 16S ribosomal RNA". It matches the Rfam family "Bacterial small subunit ribosomal RNA", at positions 338 to 795 of the family's 1533-position model. The record is from RNAcentral.